RNAcentral lists this long non-coding RNA (792 nucleotides) under Chlamydomonas reinhardtii. RNAcentral's name for it is "long non-coding RNA (CREI_LNC001001)". Lineage: Eukaryota; Viridiplantae; Chlorophyta; Chlorophyceae; Chlamydomonadales; Chlamydomonadaceae. The record is from RNAcentral.
ACGGAAUGCAUGAAUACGAAGUAAGCAAGGAGGACGUGAUACGCCGAUACGGUGCUUUGCCCAGUUAAGCGUGGGUUGCUAUUUGCCAUGCCCCAGAACGUGGUUGUGACAAAGGCGGCUGCAGCGCUGUCAAUAAGGUAGCAGAUGGAUCAACCCGUCCUUGCCCGCCCGCACGCUACGCAGCGGCUGUGGCAGCAGGUAAUGAGACAUUGGCAAAGCUUGCGAGCUGAUAGGAACACGGGCCGGAGGAUAAGGGAGGGGGGGUCGACCGGGAAAGGCAGACGCGGUGGAGGCACCGGCGGCGGCGAAGGCAACUAACUAGGUGAAGCGGAGGUGGCGGAGUGGAGGCGCCGGCGCACGGACUGCCCGACCGUAGGUCCCAUUACAUAUACAGGGUGCGGCGAGCGCGGCGGUAUGCAGUGGUCACGGCUGGAGCGAGUCCGGACUGCACACGCAAGACAUGAGUAAGCCAGGUGCUGACGCGGAAGCAGCCCGCGGCGACUGGCUGUGGGUCUGACUGACGGAGCGCUGACACCGCCGGCGGGCUAAGAAGCCGACAAACAACCGCCGUGCAAAAUCCUUAUUGGUACAGCUGGCGGCGGCUGGCUGUUUGGCCGGUGCCUGACGCACAUCGGGGCGGCGGCAGCAAGGAGUAGCGGGUAGAUGUGGGAAGGAGUGCAUGUGUGAGUGUGCGUGUGUUGGUAUUUACUGCAGUGUGGGUGAACUUGACACAAAUGGGUGGAUUGGCUGCUGGCAGUGGUGGGCCGACCACACCUUAAUUCUUGUAUCGCA